GGGUCCGUGGCAGAGCGGUCUAUUGCGCCGACCUUAUAACUCGGUGGACGUGCAAGCGUCCCGAAGGUCCGAAUCCUUCUGGACCCGCCA
Molecule: transfer RNA, 90 nt
Filed under: Terriglobia bacterium
Lineage: Bacteria; Pseudomonadati; Acidobacteriota; Terriglobia
Description: tRNA-Ile
Rfam family: tRNA
About the family: Transfer RNA (tRNA) molecules are approximately 80 nucleotides in length. Their secondary structure includes four short double-helical elements and three loops (D, anti-codon, and T loops).
Source: RNAcentral